Molecule: long non-coding RNA, 282 nt
Filed under: Ananas comosus (pineapple)
Lineage: Eukaryota; Viridiplantae; Streptophyta; Magnoliopsida; Poales; Bromeliaceae
Description: long non-coding RNA (ACOM_LNC012380)
Source: RNAcentral
UAAAAAGAAUUUUUGGGCUUUUCUUUUGGCCAAUUUGCAUAAAAAUUCAUCAAGAUUUUGUAAAAGUAGGCAGCCUUUUUAGAUUUUAUAGAUUCAGUCCGAAUUUUCAAUAAACUGACCAAAAUACUUUUAUUUCUCUUUCUCUCUCUUCACGUUCGUUUUUUUUUCUGUACGGUUCUUCCUUUCUUUCUCCUCCCACUUUCUCUCCUUUCUCAUCCUCCCCACAUCGACGUUAACUACACGCUCCUUUCUCUUACUUCACCUGUACGUCAGUCGAUACUG